AACGAACGCUGGCGGCAGGCCUAACACAUGCAAGUCGAGCGCGCCUUCGGGUGAGCGGCGGACGGGUUAGUAACGCGUGGGAAUAUGCCCUUUUCUACGGAAUAGCCUCGGGAAACUGAGAGUAAUACCGUAUACGCCCUUCGGGGGAAAGAUUUAUCGGAGAAGGAUUAGCCCGCGUUAGAUUAGGUAGUUGGUGGGGUAAUGGCCUACCAAGCCUACGAUCUAUAGCUGGUUUGAGAGGAUGAUCAGCAACACUGGGACUGAGACACGGCCCAGACUCCUACGGGAGGCAGCAGUGGGGAAUCUUCGGCAAUGGGGGCAACCCUGACCGAGCCAUGCCGCGUGAGUGAUGAAGGCCUUAGGGUCGUAAAGCUCUUUCGCCAGGGAUGAUAAUGACAGUACCUGGUAAAGAAACCCCGGCUAACUCCGUGCCAGCCGCCGCCGUAACAC
RNAcentral lists this ribosomal RNA (450 nucleotides) under uncultured bacterium. Its description in RNAcentral is "bacterial SSU rRNA". It matches the Rfam family "Bacterial small subunit ribosomal RNA", at positions 29 to 526 of the family's 1533-position model. The record is from RNAcentral.